Molecule: ribosomal RNA, 251 nt
Filed under: uncultured Gardnerella sp.
Lineage: Bacteria; Bacillati; Actinomycetota; Actinomycetes; Bifidobacteriales; Bifidobacteriaceae
Description: partial 16S ribosomal RNA
Rfam family: Bacterial small subunit ribosomal RNA
Source: RNAcentral
GGGUAGAGUAAUGCGUGACCAACCUGCCCCAUGCUCCAGAAUAGCUCUUGGAAACGGGUGGUAAUGCUGGAUGCUCCAACUUGACGCAUGUCUUGUUGGGAAAGUGUUUAGUGGCAUGGGAUGGGGUCGCGUCCUAUCAGCUUGUAGGCGGGGUAAUGGCCCACCUAGGCUUCGACGGGUAGCCGGCCUGAGAGGGCGGACGGCCACAUUGGGACUGAGAUACGCCCAGACUCCUACGGGAGGCAGCAGCU